RNAcentral lists this long non-coding RNA (10201 nucleotides) under Hordeum vulgare. Its description in RNAcentral is "long non-coding RNA (HVUL_LNC015519)". Lineage: Eukaryota; Viridiplantae; Streptophyta; Magnoliopsida; Poales; Poaceae. The record is from RNAcentral.
CCCAUCUCCCACUCAGAGCCUCCCCAAACCACAAAUUUACCAAUAGUGGACAUCUUCCCCGCCUCAGGAAGUGCCGCUCAUUGUCGUCUCUCUGUUAAAUUCGAUGCCACCAAAGCUUCUCCCGCUCCACUCUCUCCACCAGAAACUUAUUCACGAUCCAGCAAACCCAUUCCCAUCUCCCAUUCCGCCGAAAACCACCCAGGGGCAGAAGUCCCUUUUGACCGUGGCCAUCCUCCGCCAUGUUUGAAGCUCUGCUCAACCUCGAGCCCUCCAGCAACCCAUUUCCCAUCCAGCAGAUGCGGUCUCCUCUCCUGAGCACGUGGAUGUGCCGGGCGCUGGAAACGGAGCCUCCUAGCGCUCGCAAUCAUCGUCGGAAUUCACUCAUGUUUCUAUCCCAGGCGCGGGAGGAAGAAGGUGAACCUAAAAGGUGCGUCCCACCUGUCGGUGAGCCAGCCGACUCGCCAGUGGCGCUGCCAGCCAGUACGCUUUCUCCUCUAGUAAAGCAUUUUCUUUCCAAUACGCUUUCUGAUUUAGAAAUCAUAAACCCCACUGAACCGUUUUCUUUAUAACUUUUAUUUAAAAACAAUUUUUACCAAACUUUGACUGAUUAUAAUUUUUGAACGAUGACUCUAAAUGAAUUGAUUAUUUUUCUAUUAUUCCUCAAAUUUAAUCUAGUUUAUUUUAGUAUUUGUUAAAAAAAUUCCAAACAACUUUUCUACACCGUUUUGGAAAUGUGUGUUGAUUUCCAUAUUUUCAAAAAUAGGAAAAUUGGAAGGGCGAAUACUUUCAAAAUCUUUGGAGUGCAACCAAACCUUCUACAUACUCAAGGCAAGCAUCUUGAACACUGAUAUGUCAUAAAAGGAGUGAUUGUUUGCUGCGAUAAACGAAUGCUUGAUCAUGUGAGUGAAAUAAAAAAAAUCAUAUGGAGAAUAUUCAUGCAUGAAUGCAUAUGGUGGAAAUUUAUUUUUUAUGUUGAUCAUGAGAUUGAUAUGAUAAGUGGUCACUGCCUCAUUCCACAUAUGCCUAUACUGGUCUUGACAAACCCUCGAGGAAGGUUUUGUCAUGAGUAAAGUGUGACCGUGAAACUGAUAUCUCGUUGCGAUGAGAGCGAUCACUGAGGGCAUAUCUGGGCAUGAUGAGUGGUGACUAUGUUGGAUAUCAUGCAGAAAAUAUUGUGUGCUAACCAUUGCAGGGAACUUAAACCUACUGAGUCGGCCAUAGACCGAGUCUUGUACCAGUAACCCCAUACUUGAUUCGUGCUACCACUAGUCUCUGCCAUAGGUAGGGUACGGUCGAGUAAGUCGCCAACCCCUUUCCUUGCACACAUCAUACAGAGAGGCCAUAGUGAAAGAUAUCACUGAUCACUUGUAGGCAUAUCACUUGGUCCGGGGGUAUGGGUGUUCCGGUUGGACCGAGUGGGUAGCGCCCUUGUUUGCACGCGUUAUAAGUAUUGUGAUCCCAUGAUAUUCGAGACUGUGGUCUCCCCACUUAGAGUUUUACUUAACAGUUGCCUUGGGUGAUUCCCGACAGCGGGAAGUUAAGUUGGUGUGUGCGGGUCAACUGUGUUUUCAACUCAAAGAUUGUAAUCGGAAUUAGUCAAUGACGCGGGUUGACUAAAGGAAGUUGUUACUCGUGGGUAAAGAGUACCCCCUCUACAGAGUAUUAUACCUAUUUGAAUAACCGUGUCUGCGGUUAAGGACUACAGUUUGGAAUGGGUCGAGUGUUGGUCUCACUGUCGGUCUUCGGAGAAAUUAAAAUAACAAGACUAUAAAUCUUGAAUUAUCACGAAUGGUUAUUAUUGUCAAAUUGUUGUGGACUUAUCUUUUAUUGGUAUGAAGUUGUUGAGUAUCUCGGGCUGGGUCCUGCCACCUAAAUACUCAUAUUCGUAAUUCUAAUAUAAACCCUUUAUGUGGCGUCGCUCCAAACCCCCAACUGCGGCACUUCUAUCAUUAUUUUAUUAUAAGCCCCUUUAUGAGGCGUCACUUCAGACUUCCGACUGUGCGAUGUAUGUUAUUAUCUUUAAUAUAAGCCCUUUAUGUGAUGUCGCUUCAGAUGCCCGACUGUGGCAUGGAUGUUAUUAUCUUUAAUAUAAGCCCCUGGUGUGACGCCGCUUCAAACGCCCGACUGCGGCACGCGUAUUAUUAUUUUUAAUAUAAGCCCUUUAUGUGACGUCGCUGAGACGUCCGACUGAGCCAUAUUUUUUAUAUUUUCCCUUUUGACGUAUCGCUUUAGAUACCAGAUUGGUACAUAUUAAUUUUCUUGAAAAUCUCAGGAGACUCCGCCUGAUGUUAUAUUGUUAUUUUACCUUCCCUUAUUACUGAUUAAUUUUAUUUUAUCUCACGGGUAAAUUAAAUUCCUAAUAGCAUUCAUGAAUUAAUCCUACGACAUGUUAGAUAUUACUAAAGUUCUCAUGCAUGCAACUCACCUCUUUAUCAUGUCUGUUUUCAUGAUGUUUGCGAGUACUUUCAAAUGUACUCAUUGGCUUGUCCAUGGCUAUUGCCUUGGCCAGAUCGUGUAUUUGGAGAGGAGCACGAUGAUGACAACCGGGAACCUAGGCGUCAAAGAUAAUAGGCCCAUGAGAUAGGAGUUACCUAGGUGAGGAAUGGAGCCCCAUAGACGCUGGAGAUUCGUCAAACGCUUCCGCGAUCAGCCACUAGGCAUUUUUUUGUACCCCAUGGUCGGUGUCAAAACCGGCAGAUCUCGGGUAGGGGUCCCGAACUGUAGACCUUGGAUCGAUGGGUUGCACGAAACGAAGGGAACAGUGUUUUCCCAGGUUCAGGCCCUCUUGAGGAAGUAAAACCCUACGUCCUGCUUGAUUAUAUUGAUGGAGUAUGAGGAUUACAAAGUUGAUCUACCUCGAAUUCGUAUGAGCUAAACCCUAGAUGAAUCAACCUGUCUAUGCGGAUCAAACCCUCUUGUUUAUAAAGACACCAGGGGCCCCUAGGGUUACAUACAACUGACCUUUAGUCGGGGGCAGAGGUGCCGAGCUAGACUACUCAACUUGGACGAUACGCGAGUCUUCAGAACUUCCCUUCUUGAAUAAAAAGUCAUCAUGUAGUCCGGUCUUCGAUAAUACGGCCCAUAUGGUCGACCUAUAAAAGAUGGGCCGACCAUCCGAGGACCCCUGGUUCCAGGACUCCCUUAGUAGCCCCGAACUUGCACCAACACCGGUGUACAUGCUCUUCGGCAACUUCUUGCACCCAGGGUGAUUGGCUUGCGAGGCAAGUUCCUCCAUUUCCCCUUAUUUGUGGAACGACGAUCCUAAUCAUUGACCAGAUCUCGAUUACCGAAGCAUCACGGGUCCCACGGCCUCCAAACUUUCUGCUCGAGAAUUGAUAGGAGCAUUUGAUUUCUGUGCGCAUUAAUGAAGACAAACAAUCUAGCAGUCUCACUCGGAACCGCUUCUCGUAACCGUGAGGGAAAAUACCCUUUAUAAACAUAUACAAUAUGUCCUUGGGUGACCAUCAACCCUCAAGCACCAUCAAGAGAAAGCCCUAGAACUCCAGCGCCUAGAGCUAUGGCGGGUUCCUCCUCGCAUCCCUUCGCGGCCCUUCCGGGAGAUUGGGCAAGUUGUUUCGUUUCCGUGUUCCACUUGUGCAACCUUGAAAUAGAAGGAUAUCUUCCCACGUCCGAUCUUGCGCCUACCCAUGUUGGACUGAACUCGGCCAACAUCGAGGCCCCCGCAGAGAAUUUCCCUACCCCACAAAAGGGCGAAAGAUGUGCUUUGUUUCUUUCCUGCUGCAGGGUCUGGGAUUUUCGGUCCACCCCUUCCUGAGGGGCUUACUAGAGUUCUACGGGCUCCAGCUUCACAACAUUACCCGCGGCUCUAUCCUUCACAUCUCACGCUUCAUAGCCUUGUGCGAGAUGUUCUUAGGCUUUGAGCCCCACUUCGACCUAUGGAGAAAGUACUUCUGCCUUGUUCCCCGAACUAGGGGAACGUCAAUUCGGGAAGUGGGCAGAGCCGAAGUGUGGCGUAUAGCCGGGACCAGAUACCCGGUCCGGACUCCAAAGAAGAAAACCAAUGAGCGGUCUUCGAAAUGGUUUUAUAUCAAAGACAUUACCUUAUUCGGCCCAGUUUGGAGGGGUCUUCCCGAAUACGCUGAGGUCUCCUUAAAAAUCGGUUUAGCUCGCAGCCGGUCAAUCCCUCACAAGAAGAGAGCCCCAAAGUACAGCGUCUAGCCGCCAAGGUGAGGUUACUUGCUCACAGUGGGCUGACCAUCGUCGAGGUGAUGGCCACAACAAUUACCCGGUGUGUCAAGCCAAUCCAAAAGUGCACGCACCCCUUGUGGCACUACAACGGGACAAGCGACACCAGCCAUUCCAGGCAACAAGGACCGGAUAAUCAAGAUGCUUUGGCGGCCAUUUUGGCCGACCUCUUUAAAGGGGAAAAAGAGAAUUUCGCCCAACUUACCGUCAGGGACGGCUACUGGGCAUACAAUCCCGUUGAAUGGGCAAGUGUGAUUAUAAUUACAUAGUCCGGACACUUAUGCUUGGUCUUACUGAUCAAUAACCCAUUGCCUUUAUUAACAGACUUGGAGGCAUUGGAUUGAAACAGUCAACUGUCCCGCCCUUCAACCCGAAAACUACUCCCGUGAUGACAACCCCAAAUUCCAUGAGGAUCCGAAGCUUUUCAUUGACUUCGAGGACGGAGUAUUUUACUAGGAAAGUAUCGACGAGGUCAAGGUGACCCUCCACGCUGACAAUCCUGGGCCUCUUCCAUCCUCCACCGCAAACAAGAGGAAAACCAGUACUCGGAGAGGAGCUAUACCUCUCGUCAUCCCAAACACUCCUAGCUCCAACCCUAAAGGUCGGCGGUCCAUGCGCCAAACUCCGCGUCGAGCUAUAUCGGCUGGGGCCGCAUCGACCGAACAUAGGAUUACCGAACAAAAGUCAACGACACAGAAUAUAUCGGCCGCCCCUUCAACCAAGACGUAUAUAUAUCCAUCAUUCCUUUUUCACAGUAGUAAUUGCAUUGGCUCCUCCUGACCCCUAGCCGAAAUAUACAGGAGACGUACGCAACCAUCUUUACCCGAAGAUGCUGCUGAAGUGUCCGGCAACCAUCAAAAUCCGAGGUCCUCGGCUAAUGCAAGAGUUCCGGAUAUGGAUUUACUUCUUGAUGACCCCGUAGAGUUUUCAACAACGCAUUCUGAAGCUAAGAGCUUAAUGAAUCAGCGGCGACGAAAGGAGUCCUUGCGCCACCCUAUUUUUUCGGAGCAGGAGCUUAAUGCUUUUAAUUCCGCGGAUGCCUACUUUAGGGCCACGGGAGCUGGAGUUGAAGAAGCGGCCAAGCUGAUAUCUUCCCACCUGCAAGUAAGUCGUCGGUUUUUGGUACCCGAACAUAAGUUCGGACCCUGUAGCCCCUGAACCUUAUUUUGUCGGUAUGGCUGAAUUAUGGGUCGAUUUAAUAGUGUACCAUCAUACAGUCUGUAAAGAACGAGAAAUUGGCCAAGGAUUUCGAGCUAAGCCAGGCCGAGUUGCAAGCUAGCAAGGUUGAGCUAGAAGGGGUGAAGAAGUUCACCGCAGAAGCACACAAUGAGUAAAACAGAAGUAGACAAGGGGGAGAAGAAUGUGUCCCAUUGUUGAGGAUAUUUCCUCAUAGCCCUACCGAUCGUACUUUUGUUAACGCACUUGGAUAUGUUUGUUAGUGUAGUGUUUAUUUGCAUGAUACGAUAUCUGUGAGUGUAAUGAUUUUCUUGAUUGCACCUGCAUGUGAGUGAUUUGGUUAUCAUGUUUUACAAGAGAUUUCUUUUAUUUCCCUUAGCAUAUCUGGAGGGCGAGAUUUUGACUGGGUAGAGUUUGUAACGCCCCAAAAGUUAAUCAUAUUUUUUAUUAAUUUAAAUUUGGCCAGACAUAAAACUUUUAGUUAUAUUUGCCUUUUGCUAAUUUCAGAACCUUGUUUGUUCAAGGUAUACAAAAAAUUUCCCUCCAAGUAUUUUUUUAAUGGUAAUGUUGGAUUUAUAUAUUUUCCUUCCAAUGUUUUAUUUCAUUUUACUAAUAUAGUAGGAAUAACUUUUAUAAUAAAACUUGCCCACAACUAAUUCUUUUAAUAACAUCUUUAACUCUAAGAUUUGCCCUUGUUACACUGCAACCAUUUUAAAUAUUUCUUUAAAAAUUCCAUAAAAAAUUGGAGAGGUCAAGUGAUGCCCACAUAUCAGUGUUAUGCAAAAAAAAAAACCACUUGGUCAUUUCUAAAUUUUGAGCCCAACCUUAUAUUUUCAAAUCUAGUCCAGUUUGUGAUUCGAAAUGCAACCCCAUUUUUCCUAGCCCUAAAAUUCAAGAAAAAAAUUCACUCCUAUUACUUCCAAGCGAACUCUUAAGUCCAAGCAAUCAGCCACAGACUCAACCUUUCGGUUUGCCAAAAAUAUUCCGUGAAGUUUUUGUCCACAAUUGAAUUCUAGCAAAACUAGCAUUAGAAAGUUUUCUUCCCAAACUAACUUCACCACUACCUUUAACAUCUAAAGAGACCCCACCCUUCCCAAUUUCAGCUUCAGAAAAGCUCCCUAAGUGGUUCUGUCAUUCUGUCGAACAUCUUGAGUUCAGGGCAAAAAAAUUGACUAUCCAUCAAACUCCACCGCCAACCUGCCCCAUUAACCGGCUUGUUUUAACCUGAACCAUGGCCCUGCUAAAUUUAAAUUGCAUUAGAGCCCCCUAAGCCACCCUGGCAAUUUGUCGAGCAGCUGUAGUGCAUGCCCGGAGCACGAGAACAACAUGCGUUUUUCAUGUAUUCGCGCCCGAGCUAUCACGUCCCAGGACGGUCCCUCUCCAGCUUGUACUGGUCUGUUUUGCUGCUCGCCGCUAUACACCUCAGCCCAACCGACCUCCCCUACCGCUCUAUAGCACCCUAUCACGUCCUCGACGCGCCAAAUGCUAGACGCCACCGCCGCCGCCUGUUGUGGUCGGCACCAUCCAGGCCACCUGACGUGCCCCCAAGCACCUCAACUCGUCGAGCUCAUCCUCAUCUUCGUCAUCAUCCCCUACAAGCCCCGCCAGCCAGGCGCCGCCUCCACUGUUUGCCAUCAGUGGCUGCCCAUCUCCCUCUGAGAGCAUCCCCAAGCCACCAAUCGACUAGUAGUGGCCAUCUUCCCCGCCUCAAGCAGUGACGCUCUGUGUCGUCUCUCUCUUAAAUUCGACAACCCCAGAGUUUCUGCCUCUCUACUCUCUCCACCAGAAACUUCCUCAGGAUCCAGCAAACCUAUUUCCAUCUCGCAUUCCACCGAAAACGAGCCAAGGGCAGAAGUCCAUUUGACCAUAGCCAUCCUCCACCAUGGUUGAAGCGCUGCUCAACCUCGAGCCCUCCAGCAACCCAUUUAGCCUCCAUCGUAUGCAAUCUCCUCUCCUAAGAAUGUGGAUGUGCCUCGCGCUAGAAACGGAGUCUCCUAGCGCUAGCAAUCAUCGUCGGAGUUCGCUUCUCUCUCUGUCCAAUGCGUGGGAGGAAGAAGGUGAACCCGAUAGGUGGGUCCCACCUGUCGGUGAGCCAGCCGACCCGCUAGUGGUGCUAGCUACUAGUAUGAUUUCUACUCUAGUAAAUACUUCUCUUUUCAAUGCUCUUUCUCUUCUCGAAAGCGUAAACCCUACCGAACCGUUUUCUUUUAUAACUGUAUUUAGAAACCAGAUUUCACCAAAGUUUGACUGCUUAUAAUUUUUAAACGAUAACUCAAAAAAUAUUUAUUAUUUUUUUGUUAUUCCUCAAAUUUAAGCAAGUUUAUUUUAGUAUUUAUUAAGAAAUUUGCCAAACAACUUUUCUACACUAUUUUGGAAAUGUGUGUUGAUUUCAGUAUUUUCAAAAAAAGGAAAAUUGGAAGGGGGAAUACUUUCAAAAUAUUUGGAGUGCAACCAACCCUUCUACAUACUCAAGGAAAGCAUCUUGAACACUGAUAUGUCAUAAACGGAGUGAUUGUUUUGCUGCGAUAAACGAAUGCAUGAUCAUGUUAGUGACAUAAAAAAUCAUAUGGAGAAUAUUCAUGCAUGAAUGCAUAUGGUGGAAAUUUAUUCUUCUUGUUGAUCAUGAGAUUGAUAUGAGAAGUGGUCACUGCCUCAUGCGAUCUAUGUUUAUACUAGUCUUGAAAAACCCCAGAGGAAGGUUUUGUCCUGAGUAAAGUGUGACGGCGAAAUAGAUAUCUCGUUGUGAUGAGAGCGAUCAGUGAGGGCAUAACUGGGCAUGAUGAGUGGUGACUAUGUUGGAUAACAUGUAGAAAAUUUGGUGUGCUAACCAUUGUAGGGAACUUAAACCUCAUGAGUCGACCAUAGAUCGAGUCUUGUAAUAGUAACCCCCAUACUUGAUUUGUGCUACCGCUGGUCCCUGCCACAGGUAGGGUACGGUCGAGUAAGUCAUCAACCCCUUUCCUUACACACACACCAUACACAAAGGCCACAGUCAAAGAUACCAAUAAUCAUUGGUAGGCAUGUCACUUGGUCCUAGGGCAUGGGUGUUUUGGUUGAACCGAGGGGGUAGCGCCCCAGUUUGCACACAUUACAAGUAUUGUGAUCCCAUUAUAUUCAAGAUUGUGGUCUCCCCAAUUAGAAUUUUACUUAACGUUUGCCUUGGGCGAUUCCUGGCAUCGGAAAGUUAAGCUGGUGUGUCCGUGUCAGGUGUGUUUCCAAUUCAAGGACCGUAAUCGGAAUUAGUCAACAACACGGGCUGACUAAAGAAAUCAGUUACACGUGGGUUAAGAGUACCCCCUGUGUAGAGUAUUAUACCUAUUCGAAUAGUAGUGUGUGCGGUUAAGGACUGUAGUCUGGGAUGGGUGAAGUGUCGGUCUCAGUUUCGAUCUUCGGAGGAAUUAAUUUAACAAGACUAUAAAUCUUGAAUUAAUACGGAUGAUUAUUAUUUUCAAAUUGUUGUAGACUAACCUUUUAUGUAUAUGAUGUUAUUGAGUAUCUCGGGCAUGGUGUUGCCGCGUGAAUCGUCAUAUUCGUAAUUCCAAUAUAAGCCCUUUAUAUGGCAUCGCUUCAAACGUCCGACUGUGGCACUUCUGUUAUUAUUUUGUUAUCUACCCCUUUAUGAGGCAUUGCUUCACACACUCGAUUGUGGCAUGUAUGUUAUUAUCUUUAAUAUAAGCCCUUUAUAUGAUGUCGCUUCAGACGCCCGACUUUAGCACGUAUGUUAUUAUAUUUAAUAUAAGCCCCGCAUGUGACGUCGCUUCCAACGCCCGACUGCGGCACGACUGUUAUUAUUUUUAAUAUAAGCCCUUUAUGUGAUGUCGUUCAGACCUCCGACCGAGGUAUUUUUUAUAUUUUUCCCUUUUGAUGUGUCGCUUCAGGUACCCGAUUAGUACAUUUUAAUUUUCUUGAAAUCCUCCAGAGACUCAACCCGAUGUUCCAUUUUUUUACCUUCCCUUAUUAUUGAUUAAUUUUAUUUUAUAUUACGGAUAAAUUAUCUGCAUAGUGGCAUUCAUGAAUUAUUCCUAUGGCAUGUUAGGUAUUACUAAAGUUCUCAUGCUUGUAACUCACGUGCUUUGUCAUGUCUAUUUUCAUGAUGUUUCCGAGUACAUUCAAACGUAUUUACUGGCUUGUCCCUGGCUAUUUUCUUGGUCAGAUCGCGUAUUUGGAGAGGAGCACGAUGAAGACAAUCGGGAACAUAGGCAUCGAAGAUAAUUGGCGCGUGUGAAGGAGUUACCCAGGUCGGUUGUUCCUAUGGGAAUGGAGUCCCAUAGAUGCUCGAGAUUGGCGAGACCCUUCCGCCAUUAGCCACUAGACAUUUUUGUUGUACCCUUGAUACGUCUCCAACGUAUCUAAAACCUUUUAUUGUUCCAUGUUAUUAUAUGUUCUUUCUAGGAUACUUUUUUAGUAAAUAUUUACCAAUUUAUAUUAGUUUUGAGCACUAACCUAUUGACCCACUGCCUAGUGCGAGUUCAUGUUUUUUGUGUACUUUUUGUUUCGCAGAAAUUCCAUAUCAAACGUGGUCCAAACACGAUAAAAAUGUACAGACAUUUUUGUAGAAUAUAUGUGAAUUUUGGGAGUCAUAAUCAACGCAAGAAGAUGCUCGAGGGAGGCACAAUCCAACAGGGCGCCACCCAGGGGGUCGCGCCCUGAUGGCUUGUGCCCACCCCUUAAGUCAGUUGAAGCUCCCCUUCUGCCGCAAGAAAGAUAUUUUUGCGAUAAAAAUCCCCUCAAUAUUUAAGCCCGGUUAGAGUAAUGUAUCUCCGGAUAUUUAAGAAACGAUGAAGGGCUAGAAAACAAGAGAGAAAACAUGAGAUAAACA